CAUAACGAUGUACCACUCUUCGAGGCGAUAAUCAACAUCAAAGAGUUAAAGCCGACUGAAUGCUGAAUACUCAAUAAAUCCCAAAAGGUACCAGAUGAAAUCCAUGGCGAAUCCGAAUUGCAACGGCAAUUGAGGAUCGGAUAAGCGGCGGAAAAUAGACAGGCAAGCAAACAAACAAACAAGAUACAAACAGACAAGCAAAUCGACUAACUAACCGUUUAAGUUACCGUUUCGGAUGUGAGAAUUGCACUUCGGGAUCUUGAUAAAGCGAGCGAUUUUACGCAUAAUCAAAAACAUCAAAACAACAGAGGAACUGAACUGAGAAAUGGGAAACUCACACCUCCCCCACCCAUUGCACACCCACACCCACAGUUACACACCCACGAAAACAGGAAAACAGGAGGUUCGGACGUAGGUAGGCAUGCCUGGGAUGGGAUCAGGUCCUGCGAAAGGACAGGAGCUAAGCAGCGUGUAAUGACGGAUGGUUCUCCUUAUGGCACAUCUACAGAUACUUGUAUCUGCAUCUGUAUGU
Molecule: non-coding RNA, 532 nt
Organism: Drosophila melanogaster (fruit fly)
Lineage: Eukaryota; Metazoa; Arthropoda; Insecta; Diptera; Drosophilidae
Source: Ensembl